Molecule: long non-coding RNA, 1057 nt
Organism: Medicago truncatula (barrel medic)
Lineage: Eukaryota; Viridiplantae; Streptophyta; Magnoliopsida; Fabales; Fabaceae
Exons: 3
Source: RefSeq, a predicted model, not a curated record
UUCUGUCUCUAAUACAUAAACUUAGUUGACUCUAAUGAACAUGUUCUGUGUUUAAUAGUUGAGUUCUACUCCAUUUACAUUAUAUAUCUCCCCUUUAAUGUGACAAUUGCGUGGUUAAAAUUGGUCCAAAAGAAAAUUCAGAUAGAUCAAGUCAGGAGGCAUCAAAGUCAGAAAUAAAAUUGUGAUUAGUGCCAUUUGUGGUGUUUCUUUAGUUCUAAUUAUCUGUUUGUCUUUGCAACAGAAAUAUUUUUUUUGCCUUUGUUAAAUGCCUCUCGCAAAUUCAAUGAAUAAUGCAAUUCAGGAAUGAUCCUCAUUAAUCGUUACUUUAGAUAGCAGUAAAUUGUGCAAGCCAUAUUAUUUUUUAUGUUGGAAGCUAGAGCUGCAUUCAUAUCAAGUUGAAUGAUUGUAGAAUAUCAGUUUGUGGCUCAAAUUUCCUUUUCUAAAUAGAGGCUUAGAGCUUACACCCCUCCGCACACAAUUGUAAAAACAACUUUCCCUCCUGCCACUAGACACUUCGUACGACUAUGAAAACGAUGUUGCUUGCAAAUCUGGCACAUGGAAGAUCGUCGAGCAGAUGUUUGAAUUAUGAUGGCAGUGGUUCUUAUAAAGGCUCAUUUGUCACGAAAAGACCCAAGUGUUGGGACCGAAGUUUGGAGGGUCUAUGUGAUUGCAUGUGAAGAAAAACAAAGAGAAAGAAACAGAAUGCUGAGGUGGCUAGUGGUAAAACAGAAUUGCCAGGGUGAUGAGGGAAACCCGUUAAAAGGAGGCGAAUCAGAUGUGAGACUGAGGGGAAUGAAUAUUUGAUGGAUUGAAUCUUGGAGUAAAAGAAAGGGGUUUGGAGCUAAUUCGGAGCAAAAAUACGAAGAUUUGGAGACAAAAAUAUGUCUCCCCCAAGUCCGAAGUUUGGCACGGCCAUUCCACCUCCCAGGAUUCCCUUUUGCUGCUUUUGCUUAGAUUUUAAGCUACUCUAUUUAAUUUUGACCGAAAAGUCCGCAGUUUCUUGCGGAACAUUCUAGUGAUGUAUUGCUUAGGUUUUAAGUCGAAUGUAAACUAUAAA